CAGCCAUGCCGCGUGUAUGAAGUAAGGCCUUCGGGUUGUAAAGUACUUUCAGUCAGUGAGGAAGGUGGAUAUGUUAAUAGCAUAUUCAUUUGACGUUAGCUGCAGAAGAAGCACCGGCUAACUCCGUGCCAGCUAGCCGCGGUAAUACGGAGGGUGCGAGCGUUAAUCGGAAUUACUGGGCGUAAAGCGCAUGCAGGUGGUUUGUUAAGUCAGAUGUGAAAGCCCGGGGCUCAACCUCGGAAUUGCAUUUGAAACUGGCAAACUAGAGUACUGUAGAGGGGGUAGAAUUUCAGGUGUAGCGGUGAAAUGCGUAGAGAUCUGAAGGAAUACCGGUGGCGAAGGCGGCCCCCUGGACAGAUACUGACACUCAGAUGCGAAAGCGUGGGGAGCAAACAGGAUUAGAUACCCUGGUAG
Molecule: ribosomal RNA, 414 nt
Filed under: uncultured bacterium
Lineage: Bacteria
Description: bacterial SSU rRNA
Rfam family: Bacterial small subunit ribosomal RNA
Source: RNAcentral